This 468-nucleotide ribosomal RNA is filed under the name uncultured Phyllobacterium sp. Its description in RNAcentral is "bacterial SSU rRNA". It matches the Rfam family "Bacterial small subunit ribosomal RNA", at positions 8 to 524 of the family's 1533-position model. The record is from RNAcentral. Lineage: Bacteria; Pseudomonadati; Pseudomonadota; Alphaproteobacteria; Hyphomicrobiales; Phyllobacteriaceae.
AGAGUUUGAUCCUGGCUCAGAACGAACGCUGGCGGCAGGCUUAACACAUGCAAGUCGAGCGCCCCGCAAGGGGAGCGGCAGACGGGUGAGUAACGCGUGGGAAUCUACCCAUCUCUACGGAAUAACGCAUGGAAACGUGUGCUAAUACCGUAUACGUCCUUCGGGAGAAAGAUUUAUCGGAGAUGGAUGAGCCCGCGUUGGAUUAGCUAGUUGGUGGGGURAAGGCCUACCAAGGCGACGAUCCAUAGCURGUCUGAGAGGAUGAUCAGCCACACUGGGACUGAGACACGGCCCAGACUCCUACGGGAGGCAGCAGUGGGGAAUAUUGGACAAUGGGCGCAAGCCUGAUCCAGCCAUGCCGCGUGAGUGAUGAAGGCCCUAGGGUUGUAAAGCUCUUUCACCGGUGAAGAUAAUGACGGUAACCGGAGAAGAAGCCCCGGCYAACUUCGUGCCAGCAGCCGCGGUAAU